GACGAACGCUGGCGGCGUGCUUAACACAUGCAAGUCGAACGGAGUGGCGAACGGGUGUGUAACGUGGGAACAACCCGCCCUUCAGAGGGGAACAACAGUUGGCAACGACUGCUAAUACAUAAUAGUGUAGGUAGGGAGUGAGUGUGUUUAGCUCGUGGGCGGGGUAACGGCCCACCAAGGCGAGGAUCAGUAGCUGGUCUGAGAGGAUGACCGGCCACAUUGGGAUGUGGACACGGCCCAGCCUCCUACGGGAGGCAGCAGUGGGGAAUUUUCGCCAAUGGGCGAAAGCCUGAUAGAGCACGGCCGCGUGUAUGAAGAGGGCCUUCGGGUUGUAAAGUACUUUUAGUCGGGAGCGUUACCGGAAUAGAAAGCCACGGCUAACUACGUGCCAGCCGCCGCGGUAAUUC
Molecule: ribosomal RNA, 407 nt
Filed under: uncultured bacterium
Lineage: Bacteria
Description: partial 16S ribosomal RNA
Rfam family: Bacterial small subunit ribosomal RNA
Source: RNAcentral